This 515-nucleotide ribosomal RNA is filed under the name uncultured bacterium. RNAcentral describes it as "partial 16S ribosomal RNA". It matches the Rfam family "Bacterial small subunit ribosomal RNA", at positions 28 to 523 of the family's 1533-position model. The record is from RNAcentral.
GAUGAACGCUGGCGGCGUGCCUAAUACAUGCAAGUCGAGCGAAUGGAUUGAGAGCUUGCUCUUAUGAAGUUAGCGGCGGACGGGUGAGUAACACGUGGGUAACCUGCCCAUAAGACUGGGAUAACUCCGGGAAACCGGGGCUAAUACCGGAUAACAUUUUGAACCGCAUGGUUCGAAAUUGAAAGGCGGCUUCGGCUGUCACUUAUGGAUGGACCCGCGUCGCAUUAGCUAGUUGGUGAGGUAACGGCUCACCAAGGCAACGAUGCGCAGCCGACCUGAGAGGGUGAUCGGCCACACUGGGACUGAGACACGGCCCAGACUCCUACGGGAGGCAGCAGUAGGGAAUCUUCCGCAAUGGACGAAAGUCUGACGGAGCAACGCCGCGUGAGUGAUGAAGGCUUUCGGGUCGUAAAACUCUGUUGUUAGGGAAGAACAAGUGCUAGUUGAAUAAGCUGGCACCUUGACGGUACCCAACCAGAAAGCCACGGCUAACUACGUGCCAGCCGCCGCCGUAA